Molecule: ribosomal RNA, 502 nt
Filed under: uncultured bacterium
Lineage: Bacteria
Description: partial 16S ribosomal RNA
Rfam family: Bacterial small subunit ribosomal RNA
Source: RNAcentral
AUUGAACGCUGGCGGCAUGCCUAACACAUGCAAGUCGAACGGCAGCACAGCCCGCAAGGGUGGGUGGCGAGUGGCGGACGGGUGAGGAAUACAUGGGAAUCUACCCUGUCGUGGGGGAUAACGUAGGGAAACUUACGCUAAUACCGCAUACGACCUCCGGGUGAAAGCGGCGGACCGCAAGGCGUCGCGCGACUGGAUGAGCCCAUGUAGGAUUAGCUAGUGGGCGGGGUAAUGGCACACCAAGGCGACGAUCCGUAGCUGGUCUGAGAGGAUGAUCAGCCACACUGGAACUGAGACACGGUCCAGACUCCUACGGGAGGCAGCAGUGGGGAAUAUUGGACAAUGGGCGCAAGCCUGAUCCAGCAAUGCCGCGUGGGUGAAGAAGGCCUUCGGGUUGUAAAGCCCUUUUGUACGGGAAGAAAUCCUGUCGGUUAAUACCCGGCGGGGAUGACGGUACCGUAAGAAUAAGCACCGGCUAACUUCGUGCCAGCAGCCGCCGUAA